Molecule: long non-coding RNA, 1372 nt
Organism: Ailuropoda melanoleuca (giant panda)
Lineage: Eukaryota; Metazoa; Chordata; Mammalia; Carnivora; Ursidae
Exons: 2
Source: RefSeq, a predicted model, not a curated record
UCUCUCAAGAAAAAGCAGCAUCCCCCCUCCUUGACCCCUGUGGUUCCCCCACUGGAAAAAAAGUUGCAGAGCGUAACCCCAGUGCAGACCUCACAGCCUGUGCCCCUCAAAGUCCCGCUGGAGGACCCGAGCCCAGACAGGGCCCGCCAGGCCACUGGCCCCAAUCCAGUCGUCUUUCCGGCUGGGGGUCCCAGGACUGUUCGGGUAGCCACACAGGUGUGACCAGGGCCCGCUGUGCACAGGAUUUUUUUGGUAGGACCUCCUGUUUCACCCCGACCCUGUCCUGCUGUGACUGAAGAUCCCCCCCCCCCCAAAUGUGAGACUCCCUGCCUCCCUCUGUCAGCGCAGAAGACUACUUGAAUUUGUGCAGCUAAGGAGCUGUGGCUUCUGGGCUCGGAGAGACUACUACUGAUCUAUCUGUGGGGUUUGCACAGCUUCCCGGUGGGCAGGACCUACAGGCCCGGUGGUGGGCAGGCUGUCCUGUGCUGCUCCGAGCCCCGAAGGGGGCCCAGUCUCAUUCUCUCAGAAAGGUUUCCUACAUCCGCUCCUCUCCUCCAGGCCAUACCCCAUCCAGCUCCCAGGGUCUUUAUCCUGACAUAGCUCAGACCACGUCCUCUCCUCUUUAAACCCUUCUGGGGGUGCCCAUUGCCCUUCAGAUAUGGUCCCGACUCCUCACUGUGAUUUUCAGAACCUUGUGGUUUGGCUUCUUUUCACUUCUGACCUCCCCUUCCUGUGCUUCACCCCUGCUAUUAACAGCAGGCUUUCUGUGCACCUGCUCUAAGCCCCAGAGUUUGCUUUGCCUGGAACACCACCCUUUGCCCCAGGUCAUUCACUUCUCAAGUGUGAUGGUAACUGAGCGGCAGUGAUUUAUAGGAAAUAUAUAUUGGGUCAUUCGGAUGACCAAAAUAUGUUUCUCAGACAGCUUUCACCUCGGUCCACAGUUCUUGAAGACGAUUCAGAGCCACAAAGGCCAAAUUGGGGUCUUGGUAUUAAUGAAGGUGACUUUUGGACCCCACCCAAAGGCGGGGCUGGUGGCCGGAGGACCAAACCUGUGAUUAGAGGACUGACCCCUCCAUACCCCCUCCCAGGAGUGGGGAGGGAAUGGAGGUUGAAUCCGCCAAUGGCCAGUGACUUAGUCAAUCAUGACGGUAUAAUGAAGCCUCCGUAAACACCCAAGAGGACAGCUCUUGGUCCAUUUCCGGAGAGCUUCCGCAGUGCGGGACCGGGAAUGCCCCCCUGUACCGCUGAGGCGGGCCCCGAGCUCCACAAGGACAGAAACUCCUUUGUUGGGGAGCUUGCCCUGUGUUAUCUCUUCAUCUGGUUGUUGAUUCAUAUCCUUUCUCGUAUCAUUUUAAUAAACUGGUAAAUAUAA